AGUGAACGCUGGCGGUAGGCCUAACACAUGCAAGUCGAACGGCAGCACAGUAAGAGCUUGCUCUUACGGGUGGCGAGUGGCGGACGGGUGAGGAAUACAUCGGAAUCUACUUUUUCGUGGGGGAUAACGUAGGGAAACUUACGCUAAUACCGCAUACGACCUACGGGUGAAAGCAGGGGAUCUUCGGACCUUGCGCGAUUGAAUGAGCCGAUGUCGGAUUAGCUAGUUGGCGGGGUAAAGGCCCACCAAGGCGACGAUCCGUAGCUGGUCUGAGAGGAUGACCAGCCACAUGGGAAUUGAACAAGGGUCAAGACUCUUACGGAAGGAGCAAGUGGGGAAUAUUGGACAAUGGGCGCAAGCCUGAUCCAGCCAUACCGCGUGGGUGAAGAAGGCCUUCGGGUUGUAAAGCCCUUUUGUUGGGAAAGAAAAGCAGCAGGUUAAUACCCCGCUGUUCUGACGGUACCCAAAGAAUAAGCACCGGCUAACUUCGUG
RNAcentral lists this ribosomal RNA (492 nucleotides) under uncultured bacterium. RNAcentral's name for it is "partial 16S ribosomal RNA". It matches the Rfam family "Bacterial small subunit ribosomal RNA", at positions 29 to 507 of the family's 1533-position model. The record is from RNAcentral.